Molecule: ribosomal RNA, 882 nt
Filed under: uncultured bacterium
Lineage: Bacteria
Also listed under: 1 other name
Description: bacterial SSU rRNA
Rfam family: Bacterial small subunit ribosomal RNA
Source: RNAcentral
UCAUGGCUCAGGAUGAACGCUAGCUACAGGCUUAACACAUGCAAGUCGAGGGGAAACGACAUCGAAAGCUUGCUUUUGAUGGGCGUCGACCGGCGCACGGGUGAGUAACGCGUAUCCAACCUGCCCACCACUUGGGGAUAACCUUGCGAAAGUAAGACUAAUACCCAAUGAUAUCUCUAGAAGGCAUCAGAAAGAGAUUAAAGAUUUAUCGGUGAUGGAUGGGGAUGCGUCUGAUUAGCUUGUUGGCGGGGUAACGGCCCACCAAGGCGACGAUCAGUAGGGGUUCUGAGAGGAAGGUCCCCCACAUUGGAACUGAGACACGGUCCAAACUCCUACGGGAGGCAGCAGUGAGGAAUAUUGGUCAAUGGGCGAGAGCCUGAACCAGCCAAGUAGCGUGCAGGAUGACGGCCCUAUGGGUUGUAAACUGCUUUUAUAAGGGAAUAAAGUGAGUCUCGUGAGACUUUUUGCAUGUACCUUAUGAAUAAGGACCGGCUAAUUCCGUGCCAGCAGCCGCGGUAAUACGGAAGGUCCGGGCGUUAUCCGGAUUUAUUGGGUUUAAAGGGAGCGUAGGCCGGAGAUUAAGCGUGUUGUGAAAUGUAGAGGCUCAACCUCUGCACUGCAGCGCGAACUGGUCUUCUUGAGUACGCACAACGUGGGCGGAAUUCGUGGUGUAGCGGUGAAAUGCUUAGAUAUCACGAAGAACUCCGAUUGCGAAGGCAGCUCACGGGAGCGCAACUGACGCUGAAGCUCGAAAGUGCGGGUAUCGAACAGGAUUAGAUACCCUGGUAGUCCGCACGGUAAACGAUGGAUGCCCGCUGUUGGCCUGAAUAGGUCAGCGGCCAAGCGAAAGCAUUAAGCAUCCCACCUGGGGAGUACGCCGGA